RNAcentral lists this ribosomal RNA (300 nucleotides) under uncultured bacterium. RNAcentral's name for it is "bacterial SSU rRNA". It matches the Rfam family "Bacterial small subunit ribosomal RNA", at positions 28 to 334 of the family's 1533-position model. The record is from RNAcentral.
GAUGAACGCUGGCGGCGCGCCUAACACAUGCAAGUCGAACGGCACCCACCUCCGGGUGGAAGCGAGUGGCGAACGGGUGAGUAAUACAUCGGAACGUGCCCAGUCGUGGGGGAUAACUACUCGAAAGAGUAGCUAAUACCGCAUACGAUCUGAGGAUGAAAGCGGGGGACCUUCGGGCCUCGCGCGAUUGGAGCGGCCGAUGGCAGAUUAGGUAGUUGGUGGGAUAAAGCUUACCAAGCCGACGAUCAGUAGCCGACCUGAGAGGGUGACCGGCCACAUUGGGACUGAGACACGGCCCAA